This 2903-nucleotide ribosomal RNA is filed under the name Escherichia coli. RNAcentral describes it as "23S ribosomal RNA". It matches the Rfam family "Bacterial large subunit ribosomal RNA". Lineage: Bacteria; Pseudomonadati; Pseudomonadota; Gammaproteobacteria; Enterobacterales; Enterobacteriaceae. The record is from RNAcentral.
GGUUAAGCGACUAAGCGUACACGGUGGAUGCCCUGGCAGUCAGAGGCGAUGAAGGACGUGCUAAUCUGCGAUAAGCGUCGGUAAGGUGAUAUGAACCGUUAUAACCGGCGAUUUCCGAAUGGGGAAACCCAGUGUGAUUCGUCACACUAUCAUUAACUGAAUCCAUAGGUUAAUGAGGCGAACCGGGGGAACUGAAACAUCUAAGUACCCCGAGGAAAAGAAAUCAACCGAGAUUCCCCCAGUAGCGGCGAGCGAACGGGGAGCAGCCCAGAGCCUGAAUCAGUGUGUGUGUUAGUGGAAGCGUCUGGAAAGGCGCGCGAUACAGGGUGACAGCCCCGUACACAAAAAUGCACAUGCUGUGAGCUCGAUGAGUAGGGCGGGACACGUGGUAUCCUGUCUGAAUAUGGGGGACCAUCCUCCAAGGCUAAAUACUCCUGACUGACCGAUAGUGAACCAGUACCGUGAGGGAAAGGCGAAAAGAACCCCGGCGAGGGGAGUGAAAAAGAACCUGAAACCGUGUACGUACAAGCAGUGGGAGCACGCUUAGGCGUGUGACUGCGUACCUUUUGUAUAAUGGGUCAGCGACUUAUAUUCUGUAGCAAGGUUAACCGAAUAGGGGAGCCGAAGGGAAACCGAGUCUUAACUGGGCGUUAAGUUGCAGGGUAUAGACCCGAAACCCGGUGAUCUAGCCAUGGGCAGGUUGAAGGUUGGGUAACACUAACUGGAGGACCGAACCGACUAAUGUUGAAAAAUUAGCGGAUGACUUGUGGCUGGGGGUGAAAGGCCAAUCAAACCGGGAGAUAGCUGGUUCUCCCCGAAAGCUAUUUAGGUAGCGCCUCGUGAAUUCAUCUCCGGGGGUAGAGCACUGUUUCGGCAAGGGGGUCAUCCCGACUUACCAACCCGAUGCAAACUGCGAAUACCGGAGAAUGUUAUCACGGGAGACACACGGCGGGUGCUAACGUCCGUCGUGAAGAGGGAAACAACCCAGACCGCCAGCUAAGGUCCCAAAGUCAUGGUUAAGUGGGAAACGAUGUGGGAAGGCCCAGACAGCCAGGAUGUUGGCUUAGAAGCAGCCAUCAUUUAAAGAAAGCGUAAUAGCUCACUGGUCGAGUCGGCCUGCGCGGAAGAUGUAACGGGGCUAAACCAUGCACCGAAGCUGCGGCAGCGACGCUUAUGCGUUGUUGGGUAGGGGAGCGUUCUGUAAGCCUGUGAAGGUGUGCUGUGAGGCAUGCUGGAGGUAUCAGAAGUGCGAAUGCUGACAUAAGUAACGAUAAAGCGGGUGAAAAGCCCGCUCGCCGGAAGACCAAGGGUUCCUGUCCAACGUUAAUCGGGGCAGGGUGAGUCGACCCCUAAGGCGAGGCCGAAAGGCGUAGUCGAUGGGAAACAGGUUAAUAUUCCUGUACUUGGUGUUACUGCGAAGGGGGGACGGAGAAGGCUAUGUUGGUCGGGCGACGGUUGUCCCGGUUUAAGCGUGUAGGCUGGUUUUCCAGGCAAAUCCGGAAAAUCAAGGCUGAGGCGUGAUGACGAGGCACUACGGUGCUGAAGCAACAAAUGCCCUGCUUCCAGGAAAAGCCUCUAAGCAUCAGGUAACAUCAAAUCGUACCCCAAACCGACACAGGUGGUCAGGUAGAGAAUACCAAGGCGCUUGAGAGAACUCGGGUGAAGGAACUAGGCAAAAUGGUGCCGUAACUUCGGGAGAAGGCACGCUGAUAUGUAGGUGAAGUCCCUCGCGGAUGGAGCUGAAAUCAGUCGAAGAUACCAGCUGGCUGCAACUGUUUAUUAAAAACACAGCACUGUGCAAACACGAAAGUGGACGUAUACGGUGUGACGCCUGCCCGGUGCCGGAAGGUUAAUUGAUGGGGUCAGCGCAAGCGAAGCUCUUGAUCGAAGCCCCGGUAAACGGCGGUACGUAACUAUAACGGUCCUAAGGUAGCGAAAUUCCUUGUCGGGUAAGUUCCGACCUGCACGAAUGGCGUAAUGAUGGCCAGGCUGUCUCCACCCGAGACUCAGUGAAAUUGAACUCGCUGUGAAGAUGCAGUGUACCCGCGGCAAGACGGAAAGACCCCGUGAACCUUUACUAUAGCUUGACACUGAACAUUGAGCCUUGAUGUGUAGGAUAGGUGGGAGGCUUAGAAGUGUGGACGCCAGUCUGCAUGGAGCCGACCUUGAAAUACCACCCUUUAAUGUUUGAUGUUCUAACGUUGACCCGUAAUCCGGGUUGCGGACAGUGUCUGGUGGGUAGUUUGACUGGGGCGGUCUCCUCCUAAAGAGUAACGGAGGAGCACGAAGGUUGGCUAAUCCUGGUCGGACAUCAGGAGGUUAGUGCAAUGGCAUAAGCCAGCUUGACUGCGAGCGUGACGGCGCGAGCAGGUGCGAAAGCAGGUCAUAGUGAUCCGGUGGUUCUGAAUGGAAGGGCCAUCGCUCAACGGAUAAAAGGUACUCCGGGGAUAACAGGCUGAUACCGCCCAAGAGUUCAUAUCGACGGCGGUGUUUGGCACCUCGAUGUCGGCUCAUCACAUCCUGGGGCUGAAGUAGGUCCCAAGGGUAUGGCUGUUCGCCAUUUAAAGUGGUACGCGAGCUGGGUUUAGAACGUCGUGAGACAGUUCGGUCCCUAUCUGCCGUGGGCGCUGGAGAACUGAGGGGGCUGCUCCUAGUACGAGAGGACCGGAGUGGACGCAUCACUGGUGUUCGGGUUGUCAUGCCAAUGGCACUGCCCGGUAGCUAAAUGCGGAAGAGAUAAGUGCUGAAAGCAUCUAAGCACGAAACUUGCCCCGAGAUGAGUUCUCCCUGACUCCUUGAGAGUCCUGAAGGAACGUUGAAGACGACGACGUUGAUAGGCCGGGUGUGUAAGCGCAGCGAUGCGUUGAGCUAACCGGUACUAAUGAACCGUGAGGCUUAACCUU